CUUGACCGAGCCGAGCAGCAGGGGCCGGUCGGCGGGGCGGUGCUGGCCGUAGGUGGCGAGCAGGGCCUGGGCUUC
Molecule: antisense RNA, 75 nt
Filed under: Protofrankia coriariae
Lineage: Bacteria; Bacillati; Actinomycetota; Actinomycetes; Frankiales; Frankiaceae
Description: Frankia coriariae ASpks sRNA
Rfam family: ASpks TB sRNA
Source: RNAcentral